AUGGAAGAGAAAAUGAGGUUGGCUCUAGAGAAGAAGGACUUGGACCUUGCAUCUGCGCAGAAGGAAGCUCAAGAUAAGACUGCCCUUGCAGACCAGAAGCUGGCUUCGGUAGGAGUGUUGGAAGGAGAAGUAAACAAGCUGAAGUCCUCUCUCAAUGAGUCCAACCGAGAGGUAACUCGUCUGAAGAAGGAUGAGAUUGCUCUGAAUGAGAAGCUAGAGUCCGCAGUCCGUAAGAGAAAUGACACGGAAGCCUAUCUGAGAACUCUUACCAAGAAGCUCUAUCUUAUGCUGGAAGAAUUCUGCCAAAACUUUGACGAGGAAACUGGACGGAUCAAGACGGGUUUAGACCCUAUCGUUUCUCUGGUCGGCGACGAGGCUGCCAUGAAUGUGCUUCGACUGGAAUCCCGUGUUGCUAGCGUCACAAGUUACCUCGCUCGUCUGAAGGUGGCAGUUUCACGGAUCGACUCAUCACUCCGGCCAAGGGUGACGCUUCAAAAUGACCUCAAAUCUCUGAUGACUCGGCUCAACGAGAUUCCUGGUUGA
This 543-nucleotide ribosomal RNA is filed under the name Triticum aestivum (bread wheat). RNAcentral's name for it is "partial small subunit ribosomal RNA". Lineage: Eukaryota; Viridiplantae; Streptophyta; Magnoliopsida; Poales; Poaceae. The record is from RNAcentral.